RNAcentral lists this ribosomal RNA (587 nucleotides) under uncultured bacterium. RNAcentral's name for it is "bacterial SSU rRNA". It matches the Rfam family "Bacterial small subunit ribosomal RNA", at positions 338 to 916 of the family's 1533-position model. The record is from RNAcentral.
CCUACGGGAGGCAGCAGUAGGGAAUCUUCCACAAUGGACGAAAGUCUGAUGGAGCAACGCCGCGUGAGCGAUGAAGGCCUUCGGGUCGUAAAGCUCUGUUGUUAGGGAAGAACAAGUACCGGAGUAACUGCCGGUACCUUGACGGUACCUAACCAGAAAGCCACGGCUAACUACGUGCCAGCAGCCGCGGUAAUACGUAGGUGGCAAGCGUUGUCCGGAAUUAUUGGGCGUAAAGCGCGCGCAGGCGGUCCUUUAAGCCUGAUGUGAAAGCCCACGGCUCAACCGUGGAGGGUCAUUGGAAACUGGGGGACUUGAGUGCAGAAGAGGAAAGCGGAAUUCCACGUGUAGCGGUGAAAUGCGUAGAGAUGUGGAGGAACACCAGUGGCGAAGGCGGCUUUCUGGUCUGUAACUGACGCUGAGGCGCGAAAGCGUGGGGAGCAAACAGGAUUAGAUACCCUGGUAGUCCACGCCGUAAACGAUGAGUGCUAAGUGUUAGAGGGUUUCCGCCCUUUAGUGCUGCAGCUAACGCAUUAAGCACUCCGCCUGGGGAGUACGGCCGCAAGGCUGAAACUCAAAGGAAUUGACGG